GCUCUCUCGGGGCUCGGGAGCGCCCCCUGGCGGCGGACAUCGGCAUCGCAACCACGGCGGGGAGGGAACCGCUCUCCCGGGCCCGGCCGGGCGGGAGCUCCCGAUCCACGGCUGCUUCUCGGCUUGAUGCGUUGUGCGAAGCUGAGGUCACGGAGCUGCUGAAGGACAAGGGCAGCAUGCUGCUGGCUCCCCAGGCUCGGCACCUCCUCCCAGGCAGUCACUCCCCGUUGCACAGGAGGAGAGCGAACGCUUUAUGCCACAUUCGCCACGCGGAGGUGAGCUGCUGAGGACUCCUUCACCCCUGAGCUUCAGCAAUCUGAAAUACAGCGCAAAG
RNAcentral lists this long non-coding RNA (334 nucleotides) under Numida meleagris (helmeted guineafowl). Its description in RNAcentral is "lncRNA (ENSNMEG00000008647.1)". The record is from RNAcentral. Lineage: Eukaryota; Metazoa; Chordata; Aves; Galliformes; Numididae.